Molecule: ribosomal RNA, 406 nt
Filed under: uncultured bacterium
Lineage: Bacteria
Description: partial 16S ribosomal RNA
Rfam family: Bacterial small subunit ribosomal RNA
Source: RNAcentral
AUUGAACGCUGGCGGCAGGCCUAACACAUGCAAGUCGAACGAGUGGCGGACGGGUGAGUAAUGUCUGGGAAACUGCCCGAUGGAGGGGGAAAACUACUGGAAACGGUAGCUAAUACCGCAUACCAUCGGAUGUGCCCAGAUGGGAUUAGCUUGUAGGUGAGGUAACGGCUCACCAAGGCGACGAUCCCUAGCUGGUCUGAUAGGAUGACCAGCCACACGGGGACGGAGAAACGGUCCAGACUCCUACGGGAGGCAGCAGUGGGGAAUAUUGCACAAUGGGCGCAAGCCUGAUGCAGCCAUGCCGCGUGUAUGAAGAAGGCCUUCGGGGUGUAAAGUACUUUCAGCGGGGAGGCGUUACCCGCAGAAGAAGCACCGGCUAACUCCGUGCCAGCAGCCGCGGUAAUAC